CUUCUGUUUCCCUGCUGGUUUUUGUUUUGUGCCUAAUUGCCUUAAAUUUUCAGUAAAACCAAGAGAAGCAAAAGAGGAAUAGGAGCCAAAAUGUCCUUUUGCCAGUUAAUUUCAUUUAAGUUGUAUUGUUUCUUUAUAAUUAGCUCGAAGAGUCUGAUUACUUAAACUUCAAAUUAGUUUUGUUCCUGUACAUGACAUUUACUGUUUUGUUUUCUUUUCCUUUUUCAGUUUUUGAUCACUGAUUAAUGAUUACAGUAUGUUGUACACACUGAUUGAUGCCUCAUUCCUUUUCCAGCAGAGUUUAGGAAAGUAAUUUUGGCCUCAUCUGUUGGAAUACAAAGUUUAUGCAAUUUCUAGUACCACUUACCGAGGGAUUUGAAAGAAGGACAGCAUCGCUUUCUCGUAUCAUGAGAAGGCUUGUUAAAUCCUCCUCAAGUGAGUGCUAGUCAUAACUAGAAUCAACUUUAUGACAAGGAACUCAACUCUGAGGCAGAUGAAACUUCUUUCACUAUCUAUAUCGGUUCUUCUCUGAAAUCUCCUUGGUUAUAAGCCUCUGUCGCUAUCUGAUAUCCGACCUUGCAAUUUUCCCUCUUUGUGAUUAAAUCAUUUUAAAGAUAUGUUGAAAUGUUCCUCUUUCGGAAUAAGAUCAUCUCAAACAGUAUAUUAUCAAAUUGCUAUAACACGAUAACAGCAUUCCUUUCUUUUUUAUACAUGUGUUAGUACAGUGGUAGUCCGUACCAUGCCGAUGGUAUGAACUGAUCUUCCAUUGGCUGGUGUGGGCCAUUAUGCAAUGUGACAAUUCUUAAUUUUCGUUAGUGUCAUGUACCAGCAGGUUUUCUUUCAAUUGAACUUAAUUCUUGUUUCUUCUUGAAUUUUGUAGAUAUAUCUUUGAAAGUUCUUAGAUUGGCUGUUCUUUUGUCUAUAUGAAAGAAGUAUUGACAUGAAAUUCUCUAGUUUCAUGACUUUGUCCUUUUAGAUACAAGAAAAAGGCCACAACACAAGCAUCCAUGAUGGAUUUCUUCCACUCAAUACUAUGAUAACAGCCAAGAAAUUAUCUUAUUGCAAUCAAUUGCAAUUAUUGUGUUACAUUGGGAUGGGAAAGAGGUUUAUGGUCUGCUUUCUGUUUCAUAUGGGGCACAUGCCUUUCCAAGUGAGCAUCAGCCAUGCGUAGGCUCUAGUGAGAGAGAAGAUGUCUAUUUCAAGAACAUCAUGGUUUUCCUUCUACAUUCAGAUUUGGUUCAGAUAUAGAGCACUUUUUGAAAUUAAGAAGGCUGAUUUAUUUGGACAAAUUAUAUGGCAUUUUGUGAACCUUUUCUGACCUGAUCUUUGAUUUGUAAGCAAACCAAAUUUACUUAAAAGAAGGAACCCAAAAGUGUAGCUGGCUAGUUCUAGAUCCUACUGCUAAAUUUCUUUAAGUGAUUGAUGAAUGUCUGCUAUGGGAAGCGAAGGUGUUGACCAUGGCUUACAGUCAUGUUUAAUUCAUGGCUUUUACAUCUUAAUCCUAUAUUUGGCUGUUUUUUAAAACCCACCAAAUCACCUUCAUUUGUGAGUGGUAGUAUCUUGACCAUCUUAUAACGCUAUUUUGUUAAACUUCUUCAUUCUUUAAUGGUACCUGA
Molecule: non-coding RNA, 1616 nt
Organism: Musa acuminata subsp. malaccensis (wild Malaysian banana)
Lineage: Eukaryota; Viridiplantae; Streptophyta; Magnoliopsida; Zingiberales; Musaceae
Source: RefSeq, a predicted model, not a curated record